UUCUGUACUUAGGACAGAGCAAUCCAUGCACCAGAGGAGACUUGAGCAAACUCACAACUGGAAUGUGUCAACCAGGAGACCUCACAGGAAGAGGAGAGAGAGAGAGAGAGAGAGAGAGAGAGAGAGAGAUUGAAAUCCGAGUCUCCAUUGCACUCAGACUUGGGAUCCACUUCAGCUGAACUGUAUGACGGAUCCUUAAUAAACCUUCUGCUGAGAUGUCGCUCAAAGUCAAGGGCCUUGCGCUAGAGGUCACGACACGUCUGCCGGGGCAUCGAAGCGUGAAAAGGAGGACGGACGAGUAUCCAGAUGUUGUCCAAACACAGAACACAGCUGGAUCGAAAUCCUUCUUCAGGAUCGGCAGUACAGGCUACAACAGAAGAUGUACAACAUCGCGACAUGGAGCGGUCAUACGAAUAAACGUAAAUAAUCGAAAUGUUCUGUAUACACAGCCUUUAAACGCAAAGUCCCUGGCUACAUUCCACAGACACACAAACACACACACAAACACACAGUGUCAAAAACCUGGGAAGCCUGGAUAAGGCACGGAAACAUGCUUUAUAUUCGAUCUUCGAUGCUUAAAGCACCAA
Hemibagrus wyckioides is the source of this 587-nucleotide long non-coding RNA. RefSeq lists it as uncharacterized. NCBI's taxonomy places the organism in Eukaryota, Metazoa, Chordata, Actinopteri, Siluriformes, Bagridae. The record is from RefSeq and is a predicted model, not a curated record. The transcript has 3 exons.